CGGGAAGAGAUGCACCCUGUUUGGCCAGGGGUGUUUUUAAAUUAUAUUAUACUAACUUCAGGCCUUAUUAUCAUGUCAUAUAUAACUGUGAUGUUCUGUAUGUAACGGGUUGAGAAUCCGUAAUGUUCAGUUUGGCUCAUUGGAAGUAGAUAAUUUUUAAUGUUUUCGUAUAUUUUAAAUGGUAAGAUACGCCCACUGGCAUUAAACCGUGGCUUGACAUUGAGUACACCUGUGCGGCGCAAUCAUGAAGGUGCGUCAGGUUUUAGUGGCGUGAUUAAAAAGCCUGUGGAAGUGGGGCACUGUCAUUCUUCUCUGUGCUGUGUAGUAACAGGCUGCUCAUUUUGAUUUGCGUUGCCCUCUCUGGAGUGUGUGUGUGAAGUGGCGAGCGCAGGUAGCAUCAAGUUCACUAUAGCUUAAGAAAUUCCUACGAGGUGCGGCCCAAGAGCGCUAGCUGCUGUUUUGUUUCGUUUUGUUAUAUUUACUUGUGUCACUGUUUUAUUGUACUGUUCGCACGACUGACGGCAGGGACGUCGCGGUUUUGAACCGCUGUAUCCAUUGAGCUCUUUAACGAGCCUUGCUCGUUAUGAAUUAUUGAGAUAUUAGACAGGCGUGUUCCAUGGGCUGUUAUAUCAAACUAACACGCUGGUAGCUGGGUCAGUUUAAAGUAGCUUCAACGGUCUUAAAAUAGUAGUAAAUGUCGUUUUAGUUGUUUGUGUGUAUACUACUUUUGUUUUCUUUUCUUCGUAAUUACCCAUUUAUUUGCCAGUGUAUAUCCACAUUGAUUAUUUGAACUGUGAUAUUGAAGCUUAACAGAAGUGGGAGGGUAUUUGUUUUCUUUUGGUAUUGUUUCCUUUUUUUUAUUUUUUUUGGUGAUCACUUGUCUUAACCUUUGUUCACUGAUUUGCUGUGUGGUUUGUCCCUCUCUGUUAAAGUGGGUUUAUUAUGGUCUCUUAUUAAUUGUGGGUAUCUAAUUGGUAAUUUGUAUGAGAUCUAUUUUUAGGAUGUUUUAAAUGAAUGAUUUUCCUUGUGCGGAAUAAAUUUUUGUAUACUUUUUGGAAAGUCACGUCUCUGUCUUUGAUGCAAAUCGAACCAGCAAGGGUCCUUUUGUUGUAAUUCUUUUUGGUUAAAUUCUCUUGUUGUGGUAUUUUUAUUUAUUUUUUUUAUUAUUUACUUUCCUAGGUGGAGCAGUAACCUAGGUGGCGUAGUCGGGUUUUUUUAUAUUUAGCCAAAGGUUACAAUUUUGGCGUAGUCGGCAGGUUUUUUUCAUUUUGUAUGUGAAGCAGAGACGUGACUAUUACUUUGUUUGUGAUAUCAAUUUGUUUUUUUUUUUGUUUGCUUUUUUUCUCAAACAGCAGCUAGCGCUUUAGAAUAUUGUUUUGUAUGUCCCUUGGAUUGUCACUAUGGAGGAUGAGGUGCAGCAAUUGCGAGACCUGGUAGCCCAACUUAAGGCUGAUAAUGAACACCUGCGGCAAGAACGUUUGGAGGUUCAGGCAAGUCCGAGUGCUGCGUCCUCUGAGUUUAAUCAUAGGGGGGCGGGGUUGGACAUGGACCCGAGAUCUUCCUCCAACGGUAAUUCAGUAGUGACGGAAAGGUUGAUUUAUGUUCCUAGGGAGAGGAAAUGUCCUGUUUUUAGGGGCCGUACCGGAAUUUCUUUAGCUGAUUGGCUAGAGGAAGUAAAGGCCAGUAUGCGUGUUCGCCACUUAUCUAUUUUUGAUAAAGCACACUUUCUGUAUGACCAUUUAGAGGGGGAAGCUAGGGAAGAAAUAAAAUUUAGGCCUAGCGAAGACCGGGACAACCCAGAUAAAGUUAUUAAAAUACUUACUGAGCUGUAUGGCUGCCCGGAUUCAUAUAUUGUUUUGCAGGAGAAUUUCUUCUCUCGACGACAACUAGAGGGGGAGACGCUCCAGGAAUUUUCACAUGCCCUUCUUGGCUUAAUGUCAAAAGUAAUUAAAAAUGCUCCAAAUGGUAUGCCCAAUUCUGAUGUUCUGUUGCGUGACCAAUUUGUAGAGUAUGUGCUGGAUUCUGC
Long non-coding RNA from Cyprinus carpio carpio, 2026 nucleotides. Lineage: Eukaryota; Metazoa; Chordata; Actinopteri; Cypriniformes; Cyprinidae. The record is from Ensembl.